Molecule: ribosomal RNA, 253 nt
Filed under: uncultured bacterium
Lineage: Bacteria
Description: partial 16S ribosomal RNA
Rfam family: Bacterial small subunit ribosomal RNA
Source: RNAcentral
UACAGAGGUCUCAAGCGUUGUUCGGAUUCAUUGGGCGUAAAGCGUGCGCAGACGGUUGCGUAAGUCAGAUGUGAAAGCCCCGGGCUCAACCUGGGGAUUGCAUUUGAGACUGCGUAGCUAGGGUGCGGAAGAGGGAAGCGGAAUUUCCGGUGUAGCGGUGAAAUGCGUAGAUAUCGGAAGGAACACCAGUGGCGAAAGCGGCUUCCUGGUCCAGCACCGACGUUCAGGCACGAAAGCGUGGGGAGCAAACAGG